RNAcentral lists this ribosomal RNA (196 nucleotides) under uncultured Ralstonia sp. RNAcentral describes it as "partial 16S ribosomal RNA". It matches the Rfam family "Bacterial small subunit ribosomal RNA", at positions 337 to 522 of the family's 1533-position model. The record is from RNAcentral. Lineage: Bacteria; Pseudomonadati; Pseudomonadota; Betaproteobacteria; Burkholderiales; Burkholderiaceae.
UCCUACGGGAGGCAGCAGUGGGGAAUUUUGGACAAUGGGCGAAAGCCUGAUCCAGCAAUGCCGCGUGUGUGAAGAAGGCCUUCGGGUUGUAAAGCACUUUUGUCCGGAAAGAAAUGGCUCUGGUUAAUACCUGGGGUCGAUGACGGUACCGGAAGAAUAAGGACCGGCUAACUACGUGCCAGCACGGCCGGCGGUA